CCUACGGGAGGCAGCAGUGAGGAAUAUUGGUCAAUGGCCGAGAGGCUGAACCAGCCAAGUCGCGUGAGGGAAGACGGCCCUACGGGUUGUAAACCUCUUUUGUCGGGGAGCAAAGCGACCCACGUGUGGUUCAUUGAGAGUACCCGAAGAAAAAGCAUCGACUAACUCCGUGCCAGCAGCCGCGGUAAUACGGAGGAUGCGAGCGUUAUCCGGAUUUAUUGGGUUUAAGGGGUGCGCAGGCGGAGGUGCAAGUCAGCGGUCAAAUUGCGGGGCUCAACCCCGUACUGCCGUUGAAACUGCAGUCCUUGAGUGCGCGAGAAGUAGGCGGAAUGCGUGGUGUAGCGGUGAAAUGCAUAGAUAUCACGCAGAACGCCGAUUGCGAAGGCAGCAUACCGGCGCGCAACUGACGCUCAUGCACGAAAGCGUGGGUAUCGAACAGGAUUAGAUACCCGGGUAGUC
RNAcentral lists this ribosomal RNA (459 nucleotides) under uncultured bacterium. RNAcentral's name for it is "partial 16S ribosomal RNA". It matches the Rfam family "Bacterial small subunit ribosomal RNA", at positions 338 to 795 of the family's 1533-position model. The record is from RNAcentral.